AAGUUGUGAGCACUGAAGCUCCUGCCUCUGCCUCACACACUCCAGGAGCCUGAGGAACACCUGAGUAGCAAGUGCCAGGAGAAGACAAAGGUCCAGGAAGCCACUGAGCUUAGAAGAUACAUCUGCUCUGGUCACCCUUGUUAGAGAAUCUGCGUUCAUCUCCAGUCUGUAUGUGUGUAUAUCUGUAUGAACAUGUGUCUGUGUACACAUACACGUGUGCAUGCCUGUGUCACUUCUGUUGUGUGACAUGCGUUAGGCUGGGUUUCAUUUGUGUGUGAUAAUGCAUACCUACGUGUUAAGUAUACCCAUGUCUUCAUGUUUAGUGUAUGUGCGUAUCUAGGCUCACACGGGUACCUGUGUAUAAACAUGUUUGUCUCUUGAGUGUAUGCCUGCUGACCAUGAUGUGUCUUUAUGUGAGCGGUCUCUCCAUGUAGUCUGUCAGUGUCUUCACACUUGAGGAUCUGCAUGAGUGUGCCUUCUUUCUGCCAACUCUCUCUUGCCCAUCCAUUCCUUAGUCUCCUGCUAGCCAAGCAUUGUUACACAUCUCUAUGCCUCCUGUUUACCUUCUCUCAGCAAACACGUUUCUAAGCACGUGUCCCCCUGCUCUUAAGACUGGCCACUUUCGCUCCAUGGUUCUUUUUUUACACAAACAUGUUUUCUUCCUCCAACUCUCUACCUCAGACUUCCUCUGCCUACUUUCAUCAUAAUCCCAUUGGUAGCUCAUUUGGAGGCUAAGGCUGGUAUUCCUUUAGCCUUGCCCUCUUAAUUUCUAGUUCUAGCGGAUAAGCCCCAUCUUAGCCCAUGCUGAUCUCCACAGUGUAUCAUAUUCGUACUACUUCAUGACCCCUCUGCUUAGCCUGGAAUUGUAGGAGGUAGCAAGGGCAUUCAGAAGACUCAGUUGGAAACAGUUGUCUUCGGCGUUUACUGUUGUGUCUUAGUUCCAGGGUUGGGUGGGGUUUGAUAGGGAGGGAGUAGCUAGAGUAUGAACUAAGGACCUUUCUGUCUGAUUUACUUUAUUUUUCUCUUUGAAAACUACUUGUCAUCUUUUUAAUUCCAAGCUGACCAGUAAGUUGUAUCCACUGUUCGUGGCUACUAAUGUGUUACUGUCCAGCCAAGGGCCCACACUGUCUCAGCCCAAUGGGUUGGCAGACAAAGGGGAAGCCACUUCCAUUUCCCCCAUCAUGAUUGCCCUUUUUUAGCAAGUAUGUGAACUCAGUGCUUUUCUAUGAAUAAAUCAUGGAUCACAGAAAAGAUUUUUCUAAAAGCAGAAAUUGUGUUCUCUCAGUAAAUGAGGCCCUUCUCUCCUUUGACGGGACAGGGAGUUGGUUGGGCUUAAACAGAGAUAUACAGUAAUGGACAGAUGGAAGAUUCCUCACAUUACACCCACGUCCAUAGUUCCAAGGUACCUCAAAACUGUCCUAGGAAACAGUACUCUCCCAAUAUCACAUGAUUAUCAGGAGCACAAGAUUCUGAGUAAAUCAGUGGGUAUACUCAGAAAACAAUGCACAAUGAACUUAAAUGUCAGGGCCCUUUGGCGUCAGAAACCUUAGCUGGACAGCCUAAGGCUCCAAUCCUAAGCAACUUAGCUCUUUAUCUUUCUACCCUCCCCUACUGUGGUAUCCAAACUAAAGUCUCCUUAGUCCCUAUUUACCUUAGCUCCUCUUGCCUCCUGAACUCUGCACUGUUUUAGCAUCUUCUGUGCCCCUUUUGAACUCUCUUCUUCCUUCUGAGACACAAAGACCUAAGUUACAGGUACCCCAACCCUUGUCUUUAAAUGCCAUAGCCCCAACUACCUGGAACGCUGUACCUUUAUUACCUCAAUCCUGAGCUUGGAUGGCUGAUAGCAUAACGGUAGUCUGAGCCUGGUGCUAAUGCUAUAUGUAGUGCAUGCUCACUUCUUCACUGAUACCUGAGCCCUACACUUGGCUAGACUGUGCACAGGAAGCUUGACAAAAGGAACAAAGGAGCUAGGCCUGGUGGUAUGCGCCUUUA
This 1992-nucleotide long non-coding RNA is filed under the name Rattus norvegicus (Norway rat). RNAcentral describes it as "long non-coding RNA NONRATT022541". The record is from RNAcentral. Lineage: Eukaryota; Metazoa; Chordata; Mammalia; Rodentia; Muridae.